GACCUUGUAGCUCAGUUGGUAGAGCAUUGGACUAGCAAACCGGGAAGGUUGUGGAUUUGUAAUAGCACCAGGGUAA
Molecule: non-coding RNA, 76 nt
Organism: Paramuricea clavata
Lineage: Eukaryota; Metazoa; Cnidaria; Anthozoa; Malacalcyonacea; Plexauridae
Source: the annotation of a GenBank genome assembly